AUUAAAGAGUUUAACUACUCAAACCAUUGUGAACCUUACCUCAACCGUUGCUUCGGCGGGCGGGCCCGGGCCAAGCCCGGCGGCCCCCCCGGCCCCUCGCGGGCGCCCGCCGGAGGUUAACCAAACCCUUGAAUUGUAUGGCCUCUCUGAGUCUUUGUACUGAAUAAGUCAAAACUUUCAACAACGGAUCUCUUGGUUCUGGCAUCGAUGAAGAACGCAGCGAAAUGCGAUAAGUAAUGUGAAUUGCAGAAUUCAGUGAAUCAUCGAAUCUUUGAACGCACAUUGCGCCCGCCAGUAUUCUGGCGGGCAUGCCUGUUCGAGCGUCAUUUCAACCAUCAAGCCCCCGGGCUUGUGUUGGGGACCUGCGGCUGCCGCAGGCCCUGAAAAACAGUGGCGGGCUCGCUAGUCACACCGAGCGUAGUAGUCUACACCUCGCUCAGGGCGUGCUGCGGGUUCCGGCCGUUAAAAGCCUUAUUUUACCCAAGGUUGACCUCGGAUCAGGUAGGAAGACCCGCUGAACUUAAGCAUAUCAAUAAGCGGAGGAAAAGAAACCAACAGGGAUUGCCCUAGUAACGGCGAGUGAAGCGGCAACAGCUCAAAUUUGAAAUCUGGCUUCGGCCCGAGUUGUAAUUUGCAGAGGAAGCUUUGGGCGCGGUACCAACUGAGUCCCCUGGAACGGGGCGCCACAGAGGGUGAGAGCCCCGUAUAGUUGGACGCCUAGCCUGUGUAAAGCUCCUUCGACGAGUCGAGUAGUUUGGGAAUGCUGCUCAAAAUGGGAGGUAAAUUUCUUCUAAAGCUAAAUACCGGCCAGAGACCGAUAGCGCACAAGUAGAGUGAUCGAAAGAUGAAAAGCACUUUGAAAAGAGGGUUAAAUAGCACGUGAAAUUGUUGAAAGGGAAGCGCUUGUGACCAGACUUGCGCCCGGCUGAUCAUCCGGUGUUCUCACCGGUGCACUCUGCCGGGCUCAGGCCAGCAUCGGUUCUCGUGGGGGGAUAAAGGUCCUGGGAACGUAGCUCCUCCGGGAGUGUUAUAGCCCAGGGCGUCAUGCCCCCGCGGGGACCGAGGACCGCGCAUCUGCAAGGAUG
RNAcentral lists this small RNA (1085 nucleotides) under Humicola malaysiensis. RNAcentral describes it as "eukaryotic LSU rRNA". The stretch from base 488 to 1085 matches the Rfam family "Eukaryotic large subunit ribosomal RNA", at positions 1 to 625 of the family's 3401-position model. The record is from RNAcentral. Lineage: Eukaryota; Fungi; Ascomycota; Sordariomycetes; Sordariales; Chaetomiaceae.